RNAcentral lists this long non-coding RNA (249 nucleotides) under Homo sapiens (human). Its description in RNAcentral is "non-protein coding lnc-ITGB7-3:1". Lineage: Eukaryota; Metazoa; Chordata; Mammalia; Primates; Hominidae. The record is from RNAcentral.
GGGGAAUCGGCUGCGGGUCCUUGGUGUUUCCAGCACCCAGUUUCCCUUCAAGCCGGGUCGCGAUGUACGACUGUAUGGAAACGUUUGCCCCGGGUCCGCGACGGCUGUACGGGGCGGCCGGGCCCGGGGCCGGCUUGCUGCGCAGAGCCACCGGCGGCUCCUGUUUCGCCGGACUUGAAUCUUUUGCCUGGCCGCAACCCGCCAGCCUGCAACGGUGGAGACACAGAGCACCAGCUCAGAGGAGAUGGU